This 29-nucleotide non-coding RNA is filed under the name Mus musculus (house mouse). The record is from RNAcentral. Lineage: Eukaryota; Metazoa; Chordata; Mammalia; Rodentia; Muridae.
UAAUUCAUGAGGGAACCAUCUCGGGAAGA